This 253-nucleotide ribosomal RNA is filed under the name uncultured bacterium. RNAcentral's name for it is "partial 16S ribosomal RNA". It matches the Rfam family "Bacterial small subunit ribosomal RNA", at positions 524 to 776 of the family's 1533-position model. The record is from RNAcentral.
UACGUAGGGGGCAAGCGUUGUCCGGAAUCAUUGGGCGUAAAGCGCGCGUAGGCGGCCCGGUAAGUCCGCUGUAAAAGUCCAGGGCUCAACCCUGGAAAGCCGGUGGAUACUGUCGGGCUAGAGUCCGGAAGAGGCGAGUGGAAUUCCCGGUGUAGCGGUGAAAUGCGUAGAGAUCGGGAGGAACACCAGUGGCGAAGGCGGCUACCUGGACCAGCACUGACACUGAGGCACGAAAGCGCGGGGAGCAAACAGG